AUUGAACGCUGGCGGAAUGCUUUACACAUGCAAGUCGAACGGUAGAGGGGGCAACCCCUCGAGAGUGGCGAACGGGUGAGUAAUAUAUCGGAACGUGCCCAGUCGUGGGGGAUAACGUAGCGAAAGUUACGCUAAUACCGCAUACGAUCUACGGAUGAAAGCGGGGGAUCGCAAGACCUCGCGCGAUUGGAGCGGCCGAUAUCAGAUUAGGUAGUUGGUGGGGUAAAGGCUCACCAAGCCAACGAUCUGUAGCUGGUCUGAGAGGACGACCAGCCACACUGGAACUGAGACACGGUCCAGACUCCUACGGGAGGCAGCAGUGGGGAAUUUUGGACAAUGGACGAAAGUCUGAUCCAGCCAUUCCGCGUGCAGGAUGAAGGCCCUCGGGUUGUAAACUGCUUUUGUACGGAACGAAAAGACUCUGGUUAAUACCUGGGGUCCAUGACGGUACCGUAAGAAUAAGCACCGGCUAACUACGUG
RNAcentral lists this ribosomal RNA (480 nucleotides) under uncultured bacterium. RNAcentral's name for it is "bacterial SSU rRNA". It matches the Rfam family "Bacterial small subunit ribosomal RNA", at positions 30 to 507 of the family's 1533-position model. The record is from RNAcentral.